Molecule: non-coding RNA, 102 nt
Organism: Pelobates cultripes (western spadefoot toad)
Lineage: Eukaryota; Metazoa; Chordata; Amphibia; Anura; Pelobatidae
Source: the annotation of a GenBank genome assembly
AAAUACUCCAGGCACUCCAAUAGGUUCCAAGAUUUAAGGCAAUUUAUUUGAACCAAAUAAAUUGCAUUAAAUCUUGGAACCUAUUGGAGUGCCUGGAGUAUU